This 2470-nucleotide ribosomal RNA is filed under the name human gut metagenome. Its description in RNAcentral is "bacterial LSU rRNA". It matches the Rfam family "Bacterial large subunit ribosomal RNA", at positions 1 to 2498 of the family's 2925-position model. The record is from RNAcentral.
UUAAGCGACUAAGCGUACACGGUGGAUGCCCUGGCAGUCAGAGGCGAUGAAGGACGUGCUAAUCUGCGAUAAGCGUCGGUAAGGUGAUAUGAACCGUUAUAACCGGCGAUUUCCGAAUGGGGAAACCCAGUGUGUUUCGACACACUAUCAUUAACUGAAUCCAUAGGUUAAUGAGGCGAACCGGGGGAACUGAAACAUCUAAGUACCCCGAGGAAAAGAAAUCAACCGAGAUUCCCCCAGUAGCGGCGAGCGAACGGGGAGCAGCCCAGAGCCUGAAUCAGUGUGUGUGUUAGUGGAAGCGUCUGGAAAGGCGCGCGAUACAGGGUGACAGCCCCGUACACAAAAAUGCACAUGCUGUGAGCUCGAUGAGUAGGGCGGGACACGUGGUAUCCUGUCUGAAUAUGGGGGGACCAUCCUCCAAGGCUAAAUACUCCUGACUGACCGAUAGUGAACCAGUACCGUGAGGGAAAGGCGAAAAGAACCCCGGCGAGGGGAGUGAAAAAGAACCUGAAACCGUGUACGUACAAGCAGUGGGAGCACGCUUAGGCGUGUGACUGCGUACCUUUUGUAUAAUGGGUCAGCGACUUAUAUUCUGUAGCAAGGUUAACCGAAUAGGGGAGCCGAAGGGAAACCGAGUCUUAACUGGGCGUUAAGUUGCAGGGUAUAGACCCGAAACCCGGUGAUCUAGCCAUGGGCAGGUUGAAGGUUGGGUAACACUAACUGGAGGACCGAACCGACUAAUGUUGAAAAAUUAGCGGAUGACUUGUGGCUGGGGGUGAAAGGCCAAUCAAACCGGGAGAUAGCUGGUUCUCCCCGAAAGCUAUUUAGGUAGCGCCUCGUGAAUUCAUCUCCGGGGGUAGAGCACUGUUUCGGCAAGGGGGUCAUCCCGACUUACCAACCCGAUGCAAACUGCGAAUACCGGAGAAUGUUAUCACGGGAGACACACGGCGGGUGCUAACGUCCGUCGUGAAGAGGGAAACAACCCAGACCGCCAGCUAAGGUCCCAAAGUCAUGGUUAAGUGGGAAACGAUGUGGGAAGGCCCAGACAGCCAGGAUGUUGGCUUAGAAGCAGCCAUCAUUUAAAGAAAGCGUAAUAGCUCACUGGUCGAGUCGGCCUGCGCGGAAGAUGUAACGGGGCUAAACCAUGCACCGAAGCUGCGGCAGCGACGCUGAUGCGUUGUUGGGUAGGGGAGCGUUCUGUAAGCCUGCGAAGGUGUGCUGUGAGGCAUGCUGGAGGUAUCAGAAGUGCGAAUGCUGACAUAAGUAACGAUAAAGCGGGUGAAAAGCCCGCUCGCCGGAAGACCAAGGGUUCCUGUCCAACGUUAAUCGGGGCAGGGUGAGUCGACCCCUAAGGCGAGGCCGAAAGGCGUAGUCGAUGGGAAACAGGUUAAUAUUCCUGUACUUGGUGUUACUGCGAAGGGGGGACGGAGAAGGCUAUGUUGGCCGGGCGACGGUUGUCCCGGUUUAAGCGUGUAGGCUGGUUUUCCAGGCAAAUCCGGAAAAUCAAGGCUGAGGCGUGAUGACGAGGCACUACGGUGCUGAAGCAACAAAUGCCCUGCUUCCAGGAAAAGCCUCUAAGCAUCAGGUAACAUCAAAUCGUACCCCAAACCGACACAGGUGGUCAGGUAGAGAAUACCAAGGCGCUUGAGAGAACUCGGGUGAAGGAACUAGGCAAAAUGGUGCCGUAACUUCGGGAGAAGGCACGCUGAUAUGUAGGUGAAGUCCCUCGCGGAUGGAGCUGAAAUCAGUCGAAGAUACCAGCUGGCUGCAACUGUUUAUUAAAAACACAGCACUGUGCAAACACGAAAGUGGACGUAUACGGUGUGACGCCUGCCCGGUGCCGGAAGGUUAAUUGAUGGGGUCAGCGCAAGCGAAGCUCUUGAUCGAAGCCCCGGUAAACGGCGGCCGUAACUAUAACGGUCCUAAGGUAGCGAAAUUCCUUGUCGGGUAAGUUCCGACCUGCACGAAUGGCGUAAUGAUGGCCAGGCUGUCUCCACCCGAGACUCAGUGAAAUUGAACUCGCUGUGAAGAUGCAGUGUACCCGCGGCAAGACGGAAAGACCCCGUGAACCUUUACUAUAGCUUGACACUGAACAUUGAGCCUUGAUGUGUAGGAUAGGUGGGAGGCUUUGAAGUGUGGACGCCAGUCUGCAUGGAGCCGACCUUGAAAUACCACCCUUUAAUGUUUGAUGUUCUAACGUUGACCCGUAAUCCGGGUUGCGGACAGUGUCUGGUGGGUAGUUUGACUGGGGCGGUCUCCUCCUAAAGAGUAACGGAGGAGCACGAAGGUUGGCUAAUCCUGGUCGGACAUCAGGAGGUUAGUGCAAUGGCAUAAGCCAGCUUGACUGCGAGCGUGACGGCGCGAGCAGGUGCGAAAGCAGGUCAUAGUGAUCCGGUGGUUCUGAAUGGAAGGGCCAUCGCUCAACGGAUAAAAGGUACUCCGGGGAUAACAGGCUGAUACCGCCCAAGAG